This is a microRNA precursor of Sorghum bicolor (sorghum), 109 nucleotides long. It matches the Rfam family "MIR5565 microRNA precursor family". NCBI's taxonomy places the organism in Eukaryota, Viridiplantae, Streptophyta, Magnoliopsida, Poales, Poaceae. The record is from Rfam.
GUUGUCGUAUUCACUUCAAUCCAUGUGUGUUGAUGCGUAUUGGAGUGGAAUUUAGUUCAAUUUCCACUCCAAUCCACCUCAACACAUGUGAAUUGUGGUGAAUACGACU